Molecule: long non-coding RNA, 402 nt
Organism: Plectropomus leopardus (leopard coralgrouper)
Lineage: Eukaryota; Metazoa; Chordata; Actinopteri; Perciformes; Serranidae
Source: RefSeq, a predicted model, not a curated record
GGGAGAGGACACUUAUGCUUUUUUUUCUUUCUUUAAAUUUGUGAUUGAUUUAUUUCUCUUUGUAGAGAUCUGCUUUACUUACACAUCGAGCAGAUAUGGAGCAACAUUAUCAAUCGUUUGGAGUCGUGUUUCUGGCCACCUUGAGAAUAUCCUUGGGAAAGUACGAGUCACAGGCAACAGAAGACCCCACUCAGGUUUUAAUCAGUGGGUCAGUUUGUUUGCAGAGGAUGAGACCCCUGCGGACACUUCAGAUCCUGGUAUAAAUAUCCUGAACAUAGGAUCAGAAAUAAGAUUGUCUUUGUAGUCCUCUGCGCCCUCUGUUUCUUAAGGAGGACCAUCCCACCUUUUCAAAUGAGAUGUAACAGUAUGAUGUAAUGGAGGGAGAAGCAUGCAUAUGUACAG